UCAUCGGGAAGGUCAUUGACGACAGAUGG
RNAcentral lists this non-coding RNA (29 nucleotides) under Rattus norvegicus (Norway rat). The record is from RNAcentral. Lineage: Eukaryota; Metazoa; Chordata; Mammalia; Rodentia; Muridae.